Molecule: ribosomal RNA, 254 nt
Filed under: uncultured bacterium
Lineage: Bacteria
Description: partial 16S ribosomal RNA
Rfam family: Bacterial small subunit ribosomal RNA
Source: RNAcentral
UACGUAGGGUGCGAGCGUUGUCCGGAAUUAUUGGGCGUAAAGAGCUCGUAGGCGGUUCGGCAAGUCGGAUGUGAAAUCUCCACGCUUAACGUGGAGGGGCCAUUCGAAACUGCUGUGACUCGAGUCCGGUAGGGGAGUGUGGAAUUCCCGGUGUAGCGGUGAAAUGCGCAGAUAUCGGGAGGAACACCAGUAGCGAAGGCGGCACUCUGGGCCGGUACUGACGCUGGGGAGCGAAAGCGUGGGGAGCGAACAGG